Molecule: ribosomal RNA, 1740 nt
Filed under: Triticum aestivum (bread wheat)
Lineage: Eukaryota; Viridiplantae; Streptophyta; Magnoliopsida; Poales; Poaceae
Description: partial small subunit ribosomal RNA
Source: RNAcentral
AUGGGUGUCCUUGACUCUUGGGACAAGGAGGAUUGCUGUCGCUGGAGGGGCAUCAAGUGCAGCAACUGGACCGGCCAUGUCCUUAGACUUCAUCUUCGUAAUCUGCAUGUGGACAUGAUCGAUGGGUACUACACAGACACAGCUUUGGUUGGCCAGAUAAGUAACUUUUUGCUUUCCAUGGAUCGUCUAGUGCACCUUGAUCUUAGCAUGAAUUAUCUCGAGGGCCCAAGUGGCCGCAUGCCAGAGUUCUUGGGCUCUUUGGUGAGAUUGAGAUAUCUUAACCUCUCCGGCAUACCGUUUUCUGGCAGAGUGCCCCCUCAACUCGGCAACCUCUCAAACCUGCAGCAUCUUGACCUCUCAUGCCAAAUUCGUACAGAAAGUAUGUAUUCAAGAGACAUUUCAUGGGUAGCGCGCAUCCCUAACUUGCAGUAUCUUGGAAUGAAUUUUGUAGACCUCAGCACAAUAGUUGAUUGGCCUUAUGUUGUUAACAUGAUUCCUUCUUUGAAGGCCCUCAAUCUACGGUAUUGCUCUCUUUCAACCGCAAAUCAUUCACUCCCACAUAUUAACCUUACCAAACUCGAGAGCCUUGAUCUCUCCCACAACACUUUUGCCCACCCAAUGGCACAAAGUUGGCUUUGGAAUUUGACAGGACUCCAGCAUCUCUACCUUGCCAGCACUCAUCUAUAUGGUCAAGCUCCUGAUGCACUGGCACAUAUGACGUCCCUCCAAGUCCUUGAUUUGUCAUUUAAUAGUAACAUGGGGAGGAUGACUACAAGCUUCAGAAAUCUAUGCAAUCUGAGAAGCCUGAACCUCCUUUCAUGUCCAAUUGAUGGAAAUAUAAAGGAUGUUAUGGAGAGGAUGCCACAGUGUCCCUUGAACAAGCUGCAGGAGUUACAUUUGGGCAACAGCGAUAUUACCGGAAUCAUGCCGGAUCGGAUAGCACACUUGACCAGCUUAACCGUUCUUGACAUCUCCCAUAACAACCUAACUGGAGGCAUACCACGAGGGGUGGGGCUGCUCUCUAGUUUAAGCAUCCUUGAUCUCUCUAACAACAAUCUCAAUGGACCUGUACCAUCUGAGAUUGGCAUGCUUGGUAAUUUGACCGUAUUGGAACUUGGAGGCAACAAUCUCAGCGGGCAUGUGCCAUCUGACAUCGGUAUGCUUGGGAAUUUGACCAUGAUGGAUCUUGGAGGCAACAAUUUGAAUGGUGACCUCACCGAAGAACAUUUUACAAGUUUAACGAGGUUAGAGGAGCUACAUUUAAAUGGGAAUUCUUUGAGGAUUACAGUUGGUCCUGAUUGGAUACCACCUUUCAGUUUAGAAGAAACAGAUCUUGGUUCCUGCCAACUGGGCCCUUCGUUUCCUGCAUGGCUUCAGUUCCAAGUGGGCAUUCUCUCGAUGGGUAUAUCAAGCACAGGUAUAGUGGAUAGGCUUCCUGACUGGUUCAACACUACAUUUGCAAAGGCCAUUUCUCUGGACAUCUCAAACAAUGAAAUCAACGGCAGGUUGCCAGGAAACAUGGAAUUCAUGUCACUGCAAUAUUUCAUUAUCAGUUCAAAUAAACUAACUGGUGAAAUCCCAACCUUACCAAGAAAUAUUACCUACGUGGACAUGUCUCAAAACUCCUUAUCUGGAAAUUUGCCAUCAAACAUCGGGACUCCAGAUUUGAGUUCAUUAGUGCUGGUCUCCAAUCAAAUAACAGGUCAUAUUCCCGAAUCUCUCUGCAAAGUGAAGCCUUGA